UGAGACGGUCGGGCGGCCGCGCGGCCCCUUCUGGGGCCUCGAGGAACGUCCGGGCUCCACAGGGCAGGGUGGUGGCCAACAGCCACCCGGGGUGACCCGCGGGACAGUGCCACAGAGAACAGACCGCCACGGGCUUCGGCCCGGGGCAAGGGUGAAACGGUGGGGCAAGAGCCCACCAGCGACACGGGUGACCGUGUCGGCUCGGCAAACCCCACCCGGAGCAAGACCAAGCAGCAGAUGCCACGGACGGCCCGUCCAAUGUCUGCGGGUAGGUUGCUGGAGGCCUGCGGCAACGCAGGUCCUAGAUGGAUGGUCGCCACCGCACGCUGGAAUCGGCGCGCGGGACAGAACCCGGCGUACAGACCGUCUCAUCCG
Molecule: RNase P RNA, 375 nt
Filed under: Schaalia sp. 19OD2882
Lineage: Bacteria; Bacillati; Actinomycetota; Actinomycetes; Actinomycetales; Actinomycetaceae
Description: Bacterial RNase P class A
Rfam family: Bacterial RNase P class A
About the family: Ribonuclease P (RNase P) is a ubiquitous endoribonuclease, found in archaea, bacteria and eukarya as well as chloroplasts and mitochondria.
Source: Rfam by way of RNAcentral